UACGUAGGGGGCAAGCGUUGUCCGGAAUCAUUGGGCGUAAAGAGCGCGUAGGCGGUCCGAUAAGUCGGCUGUGAAAGUCAGGGGCUCAACCCUUGAAAGCCGGCCGAUACUGUCGGACUAGAGUUCGGAAGAGGCGAGUGGAAUUCCCGGUGUAGCGGUGAAAUGCGCAGAUAUCGGGAGGAACACCAAUGGCGAAGGCAGCUCGCUGGGACGUGACUGACGCUGAGGAGCGAAAGCGUGGGGAGCGAACAGG
RNAcentral lists this ribosomal RNA (253 nucleotides) under uncultured bacterium. Its description in RNAcentral is "partial 16S ribosomal RNA". It matches the Rfam family "Bacterial small subunit ribosomal RNA", at positions 524 to 776 of the family's 1533-position model. The record is from RNAcentral.